Molecule: non-coding RNA, 27 nt
Filed under: Rattus norvegicus (Norway rat)
Lineage: Eukaryota; Metazoa; Chordata; Mammalia; Rodentia; Muridae
Source: RNAcentral
UCAGACAAAAAGAAACAAGGAUGGCCU